UACGUAGGGUGCGAGCGUUAAUCGGAAUUACUGGGCGUAAAGCGUGCGCAGGCGGCUUUGCAAGACAGAUGUGAAAUCCCCGGGCUCAACCUGGGAACUGCAUUUGUGACUGCAAGGCUAGAGUACGGCAGAGGGGGAUGGAAUUCCGCGUGUAGCAGUGAGAUGCGUAGAUAUGCGGAGGAACACCAAUGGCGAAGGCAAUCCCCUGGGCCUGUACUGACGCUCAUGCACGAAAGCGUGGGGAGCAAACAGG
RNAcentral lists this ribosomal RNA (253 nucleotides) under uncultured bacterium. Its description in RNAcentral is "partial 16S ribosomal RNA". It matches the Rfam family "Bacterial small subunit ribosomal RNA", at positions 524 to 776 of the family's 1533-position model. The record is from RNAcentral.